RNAcentral lists this ribosomal RNA (1343 nucleotides) under metagenome. Its description in RNAcentral is "bacterial LSU rRNA". It matches the Rfam family "Bacterial large subunit ribosomal RNA", at positions 1564 to 2912 of the family's 2925-position model. The record is from RNAcentral.
UGAGUGCGAGCUGCUACGGCAGCGAAGUUGGUGACGUCAUGCUUCCAAGAAAAGCCCUAUACCCGUUAAGGCAUCAUGGCCUGUACCCGAAACCGACACAGGUGGGGUGGUAGAGAAUACCGAGGGGCGCGAGGUAACUCUCUCUAAGGAACUCGGCAAAAUGGCCCCGUAACUUCGGGAGAAGGGGUGCCACCGCAAGGUGGUCGCAGUGAAGAGGCCCAGGCGACUGUUUACCAAAAACACAGGUCUCCGCUAAGUCGCAAGACGAUGUAUGGGGGCUGACGCCUGCCCAGUGCCGGAAGGUUAAGGAAGCUGGUCAGCGCAAGCGAAGCUAGCAACUGAAGCCCCGGUGAACGGCGGCCGUAACGAUAACGGUCCUAAGGUAGCGAAAUUCCUUGUCGGGUAAGUUCCGACCCGCACGAAAGGCGUAACGAUCUGGGCGCUGUCUCGGAGAGAGGCUCGGCGAAAUAGAAUUGUCUGUGAAGAUGCGGACUACGUGCACCCGGACAGAAAGACCCUAUGAAGCUUUACUGUAGCUUGGUACUGUGCCCGGGCUCGCAAUGCGCAGGAUAGGUGGGAGGCUUUGAUCAUCGGCUUGCGGGUCGAUGUGAGCCAACGGUGAGAUACCACUCUUUGCGAGCUAGGGUUCUAACGGCCACCCGUCAUCCGGGGGCCGGACAGUACCUGGUGGGCAGUUUGACUGGGGCGGUCGCCUCCUAAAAGGUAACGGAGGCGCGCAAAGGUUUGCUCAGGCUGGUUGGAAAUCAGCCGACGAGUGUAAAAGCAGAAGCAAGCUUGACUGUGAGACCAACAAGUCGAACAGGGAGGAAACUCGGCUUUAGUGAUCCGACGGUUCUGAGUGGAAGGGCCGUCGCUCAACGGAUAAAAGUUACUCUAGGAUAACAGGCUGAUCUCCCCCAAGAGUUCACAUCGACGGGGAGGUUUGGCACCUCGAUGUCGGCUCAUCGCAACCUGGGGCUGAAGUCGGUCCCAAGGGUUGGGCUGUUCGCCCAUUAAAGCGGUACGCGAGCUGGGUUCAGAACGUCGUGAGACAGUUCGGUCCAUAUCCGGUGCACGCGCAGGAAUAUUGAGAGGAUUUCUCCCUAGUACGAGAGGACCGGGAGGAACGCACCUCUGGUGUACCAGUUAUCGUGCCAACGGUAAACGCUGGGUAGCCAUGUGCGGAGUGGAUAACCGCUGAAAGCAUCUAAGUGGGAAGCCCACCUCAAGAUGAGUAUUCCCAUGGCGUAAGCCAGUAAGGUCACGGGAAGAACACCCGUUGAUAGGCUCUAUGUGGAAGCGCAGUAAUGCGUGAAGCAGAGGAGUACUAAUAGACCGAGGGC